This is a microRNA precursor of Chlorocebus sabaeus (green monkey), 102 nucleotides long. The record is from Ensembl. Lineage: Eukaryota; Metazoa; Chordata; Mammalia; Primates; Cercopithecidae.
GUCUCGGCUGUGGUGUGACUGUCCGUCUGUGUCCCCCACCAGGCCCACUGCUCAGUGGAGUGUGGAAGACGAGGAGGAGGCCACCCGCAACCCAUGCCGGCA